AUUGAACGCUGGCGGCAUGCCUUACACGUGCAAGUCGAACGGUAACAGGUCUUCGGAUGCUGACGAGUGGCGAACGGGUGAGUAAUACAUCGGAACGUGCCUAGUAGUGGGGGAUAACUACUCGAAAGAGUGGCUAAUACCGCAUGAGAUCUACGGAUGAAAGCAGGGGAUCGCAAGACCUUGUGCUACUAGAGCGGCCGAUGGCAGAUUAGGUGGUUGGUGGGAUAAAAGCUUACCAAGCCGACGAUCUGUAGCUGGUCUGAGAGGACGAUCAGCCACACUGGGACUGAGACACGGCCCAGACUCCUACGGGAGGCAGCAGUGGGGAAUUUUGGACAAUGGGCGCAAGCCUGAUCCAGCAAUGCCGCGUGCAGGAUGAAGGCCUUCGGGUUGUAAACUGCUUUUGUACGGAACGAAAAGCCCCGGGUUAAUACCCUGGGGUCAUGACGGUACCGUAAGAAUAAGCACCGGCUAACUACGUGCCAGCCGCCGCCGUAA
RNAcentral lists this ribosomal RNA (498 nucleotides) under uncultured bacterium. Its description in RNAcentral is "partial 16S ribosomal RNA". It matches the Rfam family "Bacterial small subunit ribosomal RNA", at positions 30 to 523 of the family's 1533-position model. The record is from RNAcentral.